UGUACACCUGCAAAGAGGGGCUCUGGAAAGAACAAUAAAUCAAGAUCUCUCCAAAGGGGCUGAUCCUCUAACCUCCCCCUUUGCCUGUAGGUUAGCCUGUGUGUGUCACCUGUCCUCAGACCUAGGUUCUAUUCUCAUUCUGGGGCACUGAAAACCAUUCUCCCCAAAUUUCAAAGUUUCCCAAAGUCCACUGGAGUCCUUGGGGGAACUUGAGAGAAUCCCUGGGGGCUGGAGAGCUCUUUGCCAGCUCUGGAAGGAGGAGCAUCUUGUCAUCUCAUCCCCUACUGCCUCAGAAGCACCCUGGCCAUAGGCAGAAGUCAAAGUCACAGCCCUUACUAUGCAGUUACCAGAAAGAGGAACAGAUAGAGGUGGUGGAACCCGGAACAGCAGGUCCUCACCCUCCCAGAAGGAGCCAAGAGAAUGACAGCCUCUUUCUGCAGGCUUCUGGGUCAAGGAACUGGACCUGGAAGGCGGUAAUCAGAGACAAUGCAAACAAUGACAAAAGAAACGCCAAGGAUCUAUGAUGUGUUGGGUUUGCUCUGGGUGUGUGUUUGUUAAAUGGAAGGAUGAGUGGGUGGGUAGAUGAAGGCCUGAAUGAAUUUACAUUAGGAGAAAAAAAAAACCUGCUUUCAGUUCAAUGAUGUACUGUUACAUAGUACAAAGGAAAGAAAAAAGAAUGAUAGUUACCCUGUAUUUUAGUUGAUGUAGUCAAAUAAUGUGAAUAAUUGAGGCCCUAAGUAGAAUUUUUAGGAUAUGAAUUAGCUACAUAAAUCUUAUUCACAGGCUAACCUCCUGCUGCAUAAUCACUGUCAGUUGUGCCCUCUGGUUUGUGGUGUAUAGAUAAACACCAUGUUUAGUGUACUGAAUUGGCAAACCUCUAAACUUGGGUGUUGGUCUCCUUUUGACUUCAGUGUCAGAAAACGGACAGCUCUUCUUUAAUCCAGAUGUUCUAGUAUUGUUCAGUUUGGAGUUCUUCUGGAUAUCUACCCUUGUGGACCUUACCUUCUCCCAGGAGCCAGCUUUCUCCUCUGCACAAAGAAGCUCACUUGUACCUGAGAUCAGAAACAAAGAGCAUCUACCCUAGAGCUCAUCAGAGCUAUCCUGCUUACUCUGCUCUUGCUCUGUGUCCCCUCAAUGGAGUGCCUGAGAGGUGGCUGAGACCAUGUUCAGCAAAGAUGUUUCUAGGCUUUACUGAACAUGGCUGGUGAUAACUGUCUGAUCCUUCAAUCCUUUUAUAUGCUGAACUACUUGCUCCAGCUGAUCCAUUUCCCAGACUACCUUGGUCUGUCUCUGUCUCCACCUUCCCUCCCUUUCAUAUGAGUCAGCAAUGUUAAAGUACAAACAACUUUAUAUGAAUAAAAGGACAAGAUCAUGAACCAUAUGGGUGAACAAACCAAACUCAGUUUCUUCUACUCUACUCUCACAAUGCAGAUCACUUUUGUGAUCCCAAAAUGUGUAGGGAUUUUUUUCCCACCAGCAUGUAAACAAUCUGUCGUGCAGUGGACACCUGAUUCAGUCUGAUCCCAUCUACUGGGAGAUGAUGUCUGAUUUCACAGGAUGAGGUUUCAGUACCACAAGACUACCUCCACUUCAGACACAAGUCUGUCUCUUUUGUGAUACUGGGGACUGAACCCAGGACCUCACACAUGUUAGGGUGUUGUUAAGUUGCUGCGGCUGGCCUGGAACUUGUGAUCCUUCUGCCUAAGCCACCCAUGUAGCUGGGAUUACAGCCAUGCACCACUGGGCCUGGCCAUAAAGGCUAAUUUAAAGGAUACAACAAGCAGUCAGAUGAAGAGAUACACAGGGCAAGGUCUGGAAGGGUCCUGAGGGCAGAAGCUUCUGUCCCCAUGGAGUGGAGUGCACCACUCUCCUGGCUCAUCAGUGAGUUCUUGCUCAUCUUCCUGAAAGUUCCCAAGUGUUCUGUUUUUCAGAAGUUCUGUGAACCCUGUCCUUUGGGUUUUGUGGAAAGCUCAAGGCAUAGGCAUAACUGAAGCAUGCAAAGCCAUAUAAAAAUAAUGUCAGACAAAAACAGUUUGAUCUAAUGUCUUAGAAAGAACACGCCAGAAAGUCUGUUUGUUCAGAUUCUUCUUGGCCUUUCUGUGCAGCAUCCCUUCCUGGUAUCUGGAGCAGGAGUCCUUCUGGAUAUUUUAUAUAUAUUCAGAAGUGAUAUGUGUGUGUGUGUGUGUGUAUAUAUAUAUAUAUAUAUAUAUAUAUAUAUAUACACACACACACACACACAUAUACAAUAUCAUGUCAUAUCAGAACUGGUUAUUUGAAAAUCUAGGUUCUGGUUUUGAUGUCUCUUUACCUUGAGUUAGUAACAAAUCUGUCUGAAAACUUCUAGACAUAAUUUUUUGGGAGGGGGUUUGACUAUCAUUGUGAAGACAUUCUCUGCUUAGAAUAUAAUACUAAAUAUUUCCAUUAGAUCAAGCUACUGUGUUAAAAAAAAAACAAGGAUCAAGGCUAUUUGAGUAACUGCUUAAUAUUUUUAUUUCUGAAUGUUGUGUUAAAGUGCCCCACUAUAAUCCCUAGUCAAUUUCUCCUUAUACAUUAACAGGCUUUGCUUGAUAUGUUUUGAAUCUAUGUUGUUAAAUGAAAAAGGGCUCUUGACUAGUUUAUCUUCUGGUUAUAGCCUGCCUGCCUUUUUUCCUUCCUUCCUUCCUUUGUAGAACUGGGCGCUAGGAAAUUAAAUUCUCUUUCUGUGACAGCCUUGUCUUUGAGUCCUAGGUCAAUAGAAAAUUACAGCAAGAUAAAGCAGCACCUGCAAAAAUGAAAGUAGGACACCGAGACCCCAGAAAGUAGAGAGCUCAAAAACCACAUCCUGGCUGAGCUGUGGCAAGCGUUCUGCUGAAAGCAUCCCUAGAGUCUGCAGAACAUCCUGCUCCUCACAGCACCCACUGACCCCUCCCGAUCCUUAUAAACCCAUAAAACCCCUUUUCCCUGAGAACUCAGGACUCACACAUCUCUUGGAGUCUGGCCUCUCUCCUCUCUUGGAGAGUGAAUAAAAUAUUUUACUGCUAAUUGCUCUCUGCCUGCAAAUCUCUGAACCGUGCAAGCACCAUCUCUACUCCAGGCACCAUAACACUGGGGAUUGUAGGGCUUCACAUAUUAGGCAAGGACUAAGCCACAUCCCCAGCCCUUUUUAUUUUAUUUUGAACACAGUCUCACUAAGUUGCCUAGGCCUAGAACUUUCAGUCCCUAGCCUCCAGAGUAGCUGGGAUUACAGAUGUGCACCACCACCCCAGCUUUGUAAUGUUUCUUUUAUUACUAAGAAAUAUUUCCUCUUAGUUUCUUUUCACCUUGACCUCAACUUUGGAAGAUAUUUAUAUUGCUACGCCUGUUUUCUGUGUUAGUAUUUUCCAUUUCCCCUUCUGCUGAAUCGUGGCUGCCUUGGUGACAUGCGGUAGAGCUGAUACUUGUCACAGCUGAGGCUGGUCCUCAGAGGUCUUACAACUCAGAGCUCAUCACCUGGUGUGCUGCUGCCCCCAUGUGCAGAAGCCAGUGCUAGCCUCUGGGAGGACUUGGAGAGAAGGCGGCUGAGAGCAAGUGCCAACUGUGUAAGGCCAUCUUAGAUAACUGCAGCCAUGAGCGAACUCAGCGGAACCUGGCGGGCCUGCCCAGCGGAAUGCAGUGCGGCUUCACUGAAUGUGUUUCCUGAUUGCCAUCAAAGGAAGCAGGACCUACUGAGGCUUGGACGCAAGGCCUGACCAGUGGAGUUGCUCAGCCUGCAGGGGUGUCCUGCUCUAGGAGAGGCCCAGGAAACUCCUCAUUCACCUGCAGCUUCUGGCUCCCUGGAUUCUGUUCUUUUGCCUUUAGCUUAGUUUAUUUCUGUUUUAUUUUAAUCUUAUAACCUUUUAAAUAUUUUGAAAACCAUCUUAUUUAAUUGAUUAUUAUUUUCUUGUCUGAAUGUUUCUUUCUUCUUAAACUUAAAAAAUUUUUUUUUCUGCCUUGACUAUUUCAUUCUUUUAAAAUAUUUUGGUAAUGAAUACAUUCUUUCCCUCUAAAA
Long non-coding RNA from Marmota monax (woodchuck), 4006 nucleotides. RefSeq lists it as uncharacterized. The record is from RefSeq and is a predicted model, not a curated record. Lineage: Eukaryota; Metazoa; Chordata; Mammalia; Rodentia; Sciuridae. The transcript has 4 exons.